AAGUUAAUUUAUUUAUUUAUUGUAAGUGAUCUGAUUGACAUUGUGAUUUGAUCAACCAAACCAUGGAAGCUCAAACUCCUUGGUGGGUCCCACCAGCAGAAAUCAUAUUAUAUCACAUUAAGACAGUAUAAGCGGUAGGGUGGUUCUUAGUGAACAAGCUCGUGCUCAAUUGUUGGGAGGUUCCUAGCUUUGUCAUUGUCGACUAGGUGCAUGCGCCAUCUCAGUAGUGUGGUUCCAGAAAUUAUCGUAGAUAACAUUCUCAUCAAAGAUAAAAUGAGGGAGAAAGAACGCAACGGGAGAAAAAUCUCCGGCGAACCAGACAAGUGGGAACGGACGGGAACUCGUGAGGAGGAAUCAGACGAACGAGAAGAAUAGACGGAACAUUGCGGUGAAGAAUCAAUGGGAAAAUGAGGGAGACACCGAGGAAGAAUGGAAACGGAAGCCAACGGACGUACGGGGAAUAAUUGGAAGAAAAGUCGCGACGGCAAACAAUGGAGGAACGAGGAAAAACAGACGGAAAACAAAUGAGAACUGAGGUGGGAAAAAGGAACGGGGGACUCUCAGUAGACAUGUUGGGUUUCCUCGAAGAGCCAUGGUAUCGCACUGCGUUGGAAAAACGAGUCGUUCGACGACAGAAAUCCGUCGGAUUUUCGCCCAGGAAAAUAGGAGUUUUGACGGCGAGAGAGUCGAUUGAUCUUCGGCGGAAAAUGACAUGUAGCCAGAAAACGGAAGAUUUGACGAGGAGAAAGUUUGCUGCUCUUUGCCGCGAAAAAUGAGGGUUUCGACGACGAAAAGUCGUGCUG
RNAcentral lists this long non-coding RNA (803 nucleotides) under Spirodela polyrhiza (greater duckweed). Its description in RNAcentral is "long non-coding RNA (SPOL_LNC000826)". The record is from RNAcentral. Lineage: Eukaryota; Viridiplantae; Streptophyta; Magnoliopsida; Alismatales; Araceae.